GGGCCGCGCGGCUCCUCCUGGUUUUGUCCCUGGCUGUGGGGCCCAGUGCUGCCCCGAGUCGCAGGCGCGUCUGCUGCAGGGGUGUCAGCGCCGCCCGCGGCUGCCUGUGCCUGGGUGCGGGGCUGUGGCGCGCACGUCCCUGGAACUUUGUGGGGCCCCAGAGGCGCGCCCUCGCCUCGGCGUCCGCCUCUGGGGACUGACGCGACGCCUCCUUUCACCGUCUGUGGACGGUCACAUCUCCUCUGCUGUGAAGUGCCUGUUCACGUGUCUCCCAAUUUUGGAUUACAUUCUGGAUAUUAGCCUUCCGUUCUGUGUGUCCCACUGUCUUCUCCCACUUGGUGGCUUAUUUUUCUCACUUACUUUAUGGUGUCUUUGGUUGAAUAGAAGUUCUUAAUUUUAAUAUAUAGAAAUUUAUCAAUCUUUUCUGAAUAGUGCUUUUUGUGUCUUGCUAAACAAAUCCUUCCCAAAGGUCAUGAUGUUAUUUUCCUGUAUUGUCUUCUAAAACCUUUACAAUUUUCUUUCAUAUUUAGGUCUUUAAACCUUCCAGGAAUUGGUUUUUCCAGAUGACAUAAAAAUAGGAGUUAAGUUAAAUUUUUCCAUUUGAAUACCCUGUUGUUUUCAGCAUCACACAUUAAGGAGUGCAUUCUUUCCCUCUGAUCCACAGCGCAACCUCUGUGUGUCCCCCCUGGUUGUUUGUGGGGUUUUCCUUCAGCGCUGGUCUUUGUGCCCACGCGGCUCUGUCUUCAUCUCUCUGGUGCAUAAGGAGACUUGGCAUCAGGAAGGCAAAUCCUUCCACCACGGCCUAUUGGGAAUAUCCUGCUGCUUGUGGCUCUCUGCACGUCUCUGUUAAUUUCGAGUCAGCUUAUUCAGUUUACACGCCACAAUCAAAACUGCUGGGCUUUUCAUUAAAAUUGUUCUUGUUCUACAAAUUAGGAACCCUGACGGGUGUGUCAUGGCUCCCAGCAACUGCCCAUUCAGGCAACCGUCUGCUUCUGUGAGCCAGCAUCGGGACAGCCCUGAGUAGUCACAAGUGACCUGAAUUAUCUCAUUACAUCAAGACACCAGAUCUGCAUGUGACAAAAUGUUUACAAAAAGCAACUGCAGGGUGGGAGGUUGUGUUUUCUACAGAGGGAGAUCUCAAUCCUGAUUAAGAAAAAUGUAGAGAAAUGAUAAAAUAAACACUUGAACAUUUUGGUACCUCUCUGGGCUAGGGCUGAACUUUGGUGCUGGUCCGAGUCACUCCAGAGCGGGGGAGCCCUCCUGGAAUGCCGCCAAGAAUUGAAGAAGGGCUCUUUAGAGAACUCACGAAAUGCUAAAAUAUUUCAUUCUGUCCUCAGUUUAAUUCUCUCAUGUAAGCUUGGAGCAGUUUUUAGUAAAAGAAGAAAUCUGACUGUCUGAAAUCUAAGACCAAAACUCAGCUUCAAGUGACAUGACUGCAGGUUCGGAAGGAAAUCAUUGUUCAGCACGAAAGUCAAAUAACCAGGCCCCUCAGGAUUCCAGGGGAGCGCACUUUGAGAAUUGCUCUUUUGUGUCAUCUGGCCAUUGUUUUGUUUUGUUUUUGCGUUAAGAACUCAGAAGGACAAAAUCUCUUUCUGUGCAUAUAUUCAUUUGAAUUCUACUUUUGACCUUUUUUGUCAAAGGUUGCAGACUCCCUCAAGUCUCCCAGAGCGAGUGCCUAUGGCCAGCAUCCGGCAGGUCGCCUCUGCCUCACAGCAGCUGGGACCUGGAGACACGCAGGCAUCCGGGAAGUUCUCUCGUGGACUUUUCAGGGAACUUCACAUUCUCAGGCUUUCUCCAUGGACUGUGACCCUCACCCAGGCGACAGCAGCUGGGCAGCUGGUCUAGAUGAUCCCCACAGGGACCGUGACAGCGCCGGUGGUCCAGCAGAAACUCAUGCAGCAGGGGGCUGUGAGGACAGCAGCGGCAGCCCACUGCAGGCCUCUAGUGUCCCACCAGUGCAGGUGCCAGCCAGCUCCAAUAGCCCAAGCCAGCUGCCCAGUUACGCAUGGGAGUCCCUGCCAUCAGGUUAACGAUGCCCACCAAACCUCCACGCGCCUAGUCAGGAAAGUGGAGCAGCCUCAGCACAAGCCAUGCAUGCAAUCCAGCCCAAACUGGGUAGAUUUUAUUUAUUGUCGAACCUUGGGACAGUGUCUUGUGAGAUGUCCAUCACCUGGAAAGCUGUAAUUGAAACAAAGUAGUGUAACUACUUUAUCACAAUGCAUCCUACACUGUGGGAGCAGGGAUCCUCAUUGAACAUCCCCUUUUCUGUAUUAUGCAACUAGUUGAAAAAGGGACAGUGGCAAUUUUUUCAAAAUAAUGUUAACUUUUAAUUUCUUUUCCAGAGCAAUACUGCUGGGUCUUGAAAGCCAGUUAGGACUUCUCUGUUAGUGUACAGGGUUUUGCACAUCACAGUAGCCCUUUGGCGGUGCAGUGAAUCAUAAAACAGACUUUAUGAAGCUAGAACAUGGUCUUUGACAGAGCCUGCGUCUGGUUGGCUCUUUAUACCUGACUGGAAAGGCAUCAUGGUCCUGAGACAGGAGAGAGACUGACUAAGGUAGAUCAUUUCAGGUCAGAGGAAGCCAAUGUGGUUUUUCCCUUCCCUCCUAAAAUGUGACUUGUUUGAACUUUGAAAGAAAGUGUUUAGUACUGACGCCCACCGAAGCACAUUCACGAUGUGUUCUCGGCUUGUGUCGAGGGGAAAUAAUCUCUGAUUGAGUUUUCAUCCCAAAGAGCAGCCAGUGUGGCUUCCCCAGAGCCUCCCCCGUGUGACUUGCUUCCAUGGAAACAUAGCCUUUGGGACUGCUCCUCUUCCCAGCACAUCCACGGUAUUUCCCAGCUUUUGGAUGAAGCUCGUGUUUGGACUCAGUGCACUGAAGCAGCUCCGGUGAACGUGUGAGGCUCCCGUCUCGGGUGGUGUGGGGCCCCAGAGCACAGCUCAAGUGUUGUUCUGUUGCAGACGUCACUGCUGAGUGCAGGGUAAGGGAUGCAAUUAGGGCAGAGGCUUGUCAUUGCCCCCUUGUUCUCAUGCCCUCCUCAGGGUGAUCUGCAGAGGUGAGAGACCUCCUCGUACCAGGUGGUUUAUUUAUGAACCUACAAGUAUUGCCCACAGAAAUGGGCACAGUGAACUCUUCGUUGCACUCUCGUAAUGCCAAGCUUCUGAGCCAGGAUCUCAUACAUUAGCAGAUACGCUCACUCACGGUUCUGCGUAAAGCCAGGAACUGUCCAAGCUGUUUGAGGGCGCACAGUUGAAGGGCAAACAGGAGGCUGCCUGUUUGGUACUGUUUUUAUUUUUUUACUGAAGCAAAAUAAUAGAAGUGAUUGCAGUGGGUUUGACUGGCUGAUGAUGUCUGCUUACCCGGAAGUUUUCCCCCAAGCAAGAGGUGCAGGCCCCACGACGCCCUCUGUGCCUCUCUUACAUUACUCGGUUCAGGAAAUCAGGCUGAAUUCGGUCUGCAUGUACUAAGGAUUAGUUAGGGCAUACUGAGAGAUUUUUAAUUUUUUUUUUAUUUAACCUGUUCCCUCCCCAUUGUAUCAGUUUGACACAAAGGAAAGCCUUUUGUCAUGUAAUCUUUUGUUUCCCAUCAACUUAUGUGGACAAUAAGAUGGCGAUACUUAGUGCAGCCAACUGGGAGCUCAUUGCUGACCUCUUGGUUGGAAAUUUGGAAAAAGUAGAAAUCAAGUAUUGAAAAAGUGGGAGGAAUUUAACAUUAUAAUUAACUGAAUAUAUCAAAACAGAGCACUCUUUUCUUACAACCAAACUUGCUUUUUCUGGCUUGGCACGUGCUGCCAUGAGCACGCACAGCCUGCAGCAAGGCUAUCUGUGCAUGCCUCGCGUCUGGUUCCUGAGGAAAGUGCCUGCUCUGUUUAUCCUCAAGUGUGUGGAACCGGCAGAGAUAGGAAUCCCUUUGUUCAGCUGAUUUGAAUUUGUGCAUCCUGUUCAUUUUCCACUUGUCCUUCACGGGGGGUCGGCGGCCUCUUUUUAGACAAUGAUAAAUGUUGAGUGCAUGUAUUUUAGAGUAUCCUAGACAUAGCUGCCAGAAUAGAAGUUCUCAUUAAUCUAGACACUAGAAGAGAACUUAGAAACAUCUCUCAGAAGCUUUCUAAGGGAACAGAACUGGGGUUCUGAAUGUUUGCCGUGUGGAAAUCCUGCCCUAUCUUCUUAUGUGAGUGACAGCGACUCUCGUCCCUGAAGUUUGUUUUCUUCACUGAGUCCCUAACAUACAAUAUGGAACAGAAAAGAGUUUUACUUGUAUUGAACCAGCAAACAGCCAUUGAUGAUUACGUAUCUAGGUACUAAAGGUUUUUCCUUUUCACAAUGACUGAUUAUAGCUUUAGCUGGUUAAACCUCCCAUUGUUAACUGUGCUGCUGAGGCAAUAUGCUGUCUGACUCCCACUAGGCUCCUACAGAUAACAUCUCCCUGGAGCCUGGGUCACCGUGGUAAUGGGUGUGUGAGCUGUUUUUCAGGAAUUAGAACUCCUUGUCCACAAUUCAGGCCGGCUGAGACCACCAACUCAUCAACCAGGCCCGCAGAGAUGUCGGAUAGGCGAUCUUUUGACGUCAAGAGGCUAAAAACUCCACCCUCUGAUCAUGCUAACACCGACAUUUUGUGAACAUGGGUCCUAUGAAGAGGCAUGGAGUCUGACUAUGCUUGCACACAUCAUCAAUUACCUCACCUCUCCUCACCUCCAAUCACCUCUCUCCACAUUUCAGACCACCUUGCCCCCAUCCCAUAAAUAUCCCUGAGUCCCUAUUUUCAGGGAAGCGGAUUUGAGGCUCAUGCUCUCGCUUCCUCCCAUGGCUGCCUUGUGAGUAAACCCUCACUCUGCUGCGAUCUGGUCAUCUUGGUGUUUGGCUUUCUGGGCAGUGGGCAAAAACGAACCUGGUUUGGUAACAGUAUCACUCAAUUUAGCAACAUCUAGUUGUCACCACUGUCUUUAAUAGAGUCAUUUAAGUAAAAAUUUUCCUUCAGGGAUAGUGUUUUUUGGUCUUCUGUUUUAAAGGUUAAACUUUUCAUAUUUGAGAAAAUGUGUGUAGGUAGUUGUCAUCCAAGCCUUCUCAGAUCGUCAUUGUUAGCAGAAUCCUGUAUGACUUUGUGAACCAGGGGCCCUACCAGCACAGUAUGCAAUGAUUGAAAGAAAUCUUAGAACAGAAAUAGAGACAGCAGCCAGAACACUAUCAAGCUCCAAUUGGCCACCACGGAAGGCAGUUGUCCUUUAAAUCAGAGCCAUCUGUUCUGUUAAGGCCAGGCUGUUUCUCAAGCCUCCCCCGGGAAGCAGGAGGUCAGAUCUGAGCGCUCCUUCAGAUUUGCUGCCUAGUGAGGCAGAGGCAUUCCUUUUUGCAGUGUUUGUGAUUUUUUGUUAACUGUUGUAACCAGAGAGCUGUUGUGUUUUAAAAUACCAAGGAAGAAGACUGAAAUUGUAAACACUUUGUAAACAUAAUCCUUUGUACUUGAAUAGUAGCAUUUUAAAGGGUGUUGAUAGCUCACCAAACAAAAAGUAUAAUAAAUGGCACAGCUGUUAAGUUUGCAUGUUCUGCUUCAGCUUCAGCGGCCGGGGGUUUGCUGGUUCAGAUCCAGUGUGUGGACCUAGACACCGCUUGGCAAGCCAUGCUGUGGCAGGAGUCCCACAUAUAAAGUAGAGGACGAUGAGCAUGGAUGUUAGCUCAGGGCCAGUCUUCCUCAGCAAAAAAGAGGAGGAUUGGCGGCAGAUGUUAGCUCAGGGCUAAUGUUUCUAAAAAGAAAAAAAAAGAAACAAAAGUAUAGUAAACGGCCUUUUUAUAUGCUUUUUUGUUCUGUCUUUUAUAGAAAACUAGUAUUCAAGUUAAAUAAGAUGCUAGUUUUGUUUAUUUCACUUCUACAAAUUAAAAACUAAACUAAACAGAAACAGGGAACAAGCAGUGUUGGAGGCAGAGGUUUUCUUCUCCUGGCCCUCUCCCCCCAGGCUGUGGGAGGAACGAGAAGGAAUGGAGCGUGUGCAGAGGUCAUGAGUGAAAAAUCACUGUUUACCUCUGCAGGGGCCGCUGCUCCCCACAAGCACACGUGAAGGGAAGCCUGCUGCCCUGUCUCUGGUGACCUGCUGCACGCAGCACCUGGUUCCCUGGAGGCUGGGUCGACCCAGGGCAGUUUCAGACCUCGAACCUUCCUGCUCUCAGAUGCUCCAGCACACACUCCUCUAGCCAGGCGGCCCACAGGUGCUUCUUUCUUUAUCUUCUCUUUUGCUUUCAGACUCCUUUUCCUUUUGUAAAACAAAAGUUUCUGAU
Equus asinus (donkey) is the source of this 6259-nucleotide long non-coding RNA. NCBI's taxonomy places the organism in Eukaryota, Metazoa, Chordata, Mammalia, Perissodactyla, Equidae. The record is from Ensembl.